RNAcentral lists this signal recognition particle RNA (248 nucleotides) under bovine gut metagenome. RNAcentral describes it as "Bacterial large signal recognition particle RNA". It matches the Rfam family "Bacterial large signal recognition particle RNA". Rfam says of the family: The signal recognition particle (SRP) is a universally conserved ribonucleoprotein involved in the co-translational targeting of proteins to membranes. Archaeal SRP consists of a 7S RNA and homologues of the eukaryotic SRP19 and SRP54 proteins. In most bacteria, the SRP consists of a 4.5S RNA and the Ffh protein (a homologue of the eukaryotic SRP54 protein). The record is from RNAcentral.
AGCCGGGGAAUUAGCGGAGCCUUGUACCUGCAAUCCGCUACAGCAGGGGUCAUGUCGGUACUGAGGGCAUUCGUUUGUGGAGCUGCCCGCUGCAAGUGGCGUUGACGUUUGGGUCUUAUGCAACAGGACGCCGCGAACCGUGUCAGGUCGGGAACGAAGCAGCACUAAGAGGAUUGACUUGUGUGACGUAAGGGUGCCUGGGCCGAGUUAACUACAGCGGUAACGUCCAGGGGCGGUGUUCGAACUGG